GAUGAAGAACGUAGCGAAAUGCGAUACGUAAUGUGAAUUGCAGAAUUCAGUGAAUCAUCGAAUCUUUGAACGCAUAUUGCGCUCUCUGGUAUUCCGGAGAGCAUGCUUGUUUGAGUAUCAGUAAACACCUCAACUCCCUUUUCUUUUUUGAAAUUGGAGCUGGACUUGAGUGAUCCCAACGCUUUCUUCCAAGAAAGUGGCGGGUUGCUUGAAAUGCAGGUGCAGCUGAACUUUUCUCUGAGCUAUAAGCAUAUCUAUUUAGUCUGCCUAAAAAACAGAUUAUUACCUUUGCUGCAGCUAACAUAAAGGAGACUAGUUCUUGUGCUGACUGAUGCAGGAUUCACAGAGACAGCUUCGGCUGACUUUGUCAACUCGAUCUCAAAUCAAGUAAGACUACCCGCUGAACUUAAGCAUAUCAAUAAGCGGAGGA
Molecule: unclassified non-coding RNA, 430 nt
Filed under: soil metagenome
Description: partial contains 5.8S ribosomal RNA, internal transcribed spacer 2, and large subunit ribosomal RNA
Rfam family: 5.8S ribosomal RNA (bases 1-120)
Source: RNAcentral